This is a small nuclear RNA of Oryctolagus cuniculus (rabbit), 132 nucleotides long. It matches the Rfam family "U4 spliceosomal RNA". From Rfam's summary of the family: U4 small nuclear RNA (U4 snRNA) is a component of the major U2-dependent spliceosome. The record is from Rfam. NCBI's taxonomy places the organism in Eukaryota, Metazoa, Chordata, Mammalia, Lagomorpha, Leporidae.
AGCUUUGCACAGUGGCAGUAUUGUUGCCAAUGUGGUUUAUCCGAGGUGCGAUUAUUGUUAAUUGAAAUCAAGAAACAAAUUGUAAAUGGUUGGAAGCAAUUAAUUCUGGUAGGUGGUAGUUUGCAAUAACCA